This 3304-nucleotide long non-coding RNA is filed under the name Homo sapiens (human). Its description in RNAcentral is "HSALNT0385818". The record is from RNAcentral. Lineage: Eukaryota; Metazoa; Chordata; Mammalia; Primates; Hominidae.
GCGCGGCAGCAGGGUUGGGCUCUCGCCGUGAGUCGACGAAGGGAGCGCGGGCGCGCGCCCGCGUCCGCGCACUGAGAGUCGCCUCGGCCGCUCGCUUUCUCGACUCCCGCCUCGCGCCUCGAUCCUGUUCCGCCUCCCUCGGCCCUCCUGCCCGCCCCCACUCGUCGGCCCUCAGGUACCUAAAAUGUCUCAUUAUUCAUCAAUUAAUGAAAAACAAAUGAAAAUUUGAGAGAGAUAUUCUGAAGAAUAAAAGGAUCAAGUUGGGUCAUUUCUAAAAUCUCAGAGACCUAAUAGGAUGGGGUCUUAGAGAAACAUCUUUUGAGCCACAGACUUCUUUGUUACCAGAAGGAAAAUGAAAGAAGAAAUUUAAAUACCACUUGAAGAGAGGUAAAUAAAUGAGAAAUGGGGCUGAGAGGGCGGGUAUUUUUUUAAAAAUUCAUUAAAUGGAAAAAUCCACAAAUGUUAAUUCUGGUAGAUUUCUUAGAAAUUACAUCAGAGGAGCAUGCUUGGUCUUCCCACCCUCAUUAGGCCUCAGUGACAGGUACUUGAACAACUGAGCCCCUAAUGUGCAUGCUCCCCCACCCCUGAAGCCAGUCUCUGCCCUCCUCUUCCCUCCUCUUGCCCCUGGAAGCUGAUCGCCACCAACUGGCCUCUGGGUGGAUUUGGCCAAUGGAAGCACCUGUAGAGGGAAGAGAGUGAGGUUAGGAUAUUUCUUCCUGCUGUCUCCGUGCUUCCCUGCAGAGAGUGUGAAGAAAUGACCCUGAAAAGCCUCUGGCAGAGGAUUCUUCUUUCAGGAUGGUGUCGCCUCCUCAGCAGCCCAUCCUCCUCCCCUGGACUCAAGCUCUCAUUCCAGUAACACUCCUUCCUCCUUCUCCAUCUUCAGGGGGAGGUUUGCCAGUCGGUGGGUUCUAAGCAUAUCUCGCUGAUUCCCCCCAACCCUGCCGACACCUCUGUAGGUCGUCCCUUCAUUAAAAUCUCUCCAUUUGAACUAUCUGAGUUUAAUUCCAUUUCCUCCUGGUAUCUCAGUGAUACACGGUAUCAGUACAAAAAUCUCGCUUCACCUUCAGAACCAACAGAUUUGAGACAUUUUAUCCUCUGUGGAACCAUUAGUUAUUUUGUCAUUGGUUGUAUCAGAAAAAAAAAUCAGGAAUGCAAAUCCUUCUUUAUUACAGAUUCAGAUUUGCAUAUUACCAAUGUUAUAUAUUUUAAACAAAACUAUUCAUCAUAAGUUUUAAAAAUUAACUACUGGAGUAGUUAAUGAAUCUGAAUGUAAUUAUGUAGCUUUCAUAAUAUUAAAGUAAAAAUACUAAAAGAAGUAUUUCUUAAAGAAGCAAAUGCUCAAUCUCCAAGUAAAUUUUAUUCUAUGCUCUUCCGGUAUAAGAAUAUGUUAAUAUCUUGAAAAAUAUCAUAUUAUUUUGUGAACUCAUAAAGCUAUUUUGAGUUUUUGUAAAAUGAAAACCUUACCAAAAUGUAUUUUAUUGUUGGAAAGCUUGACCGUUACUGCUGUUUAAUUUUUUGAGCUUGUAAACUUUAUUUGUGCAUGUUUUCAACAAAGAAGGAUUUUAUUGUUAUUACAUAAAACAGGUGAUUUCUAGAUUUUAAAAUCACAAAUUGAAAGCAAGGCACAAUAAUAUAUAUUUCAAGAUAUAGGUACUUAGGAGGCAUCCUUUUAGUCAUCUGUUCAAUGUAGCCAUCUAUUUUACACCUACUGUCUACUAUUGUUUGAGGUCCUUGCCAAAGUAUUGCAGGCUAGUUAGGAAACAUAAAACAAUUAGAAAGUAAUCUAUGACAAGUAAGCUAUCUAUAAAUGGCAAUGAAGGGUAGAACAAAUUCAAUGAAAAUAUCUAUUUAAUCCUAGUGUUUACUGGUCUAGAAGAAUAGGCUGAGUAAAUUAGUAUUUCUCUGGCUGUUGUGGUAACACAUUGCAUGCUAUAACAGUUUUAAGUAAUUACAGGUGCAUUGAAAUUUAUCUAUGGCUUUGUCAUCAUAUUCUAAAAUGUCAUGAGUACUUUUUUCUGACCUCAAUUACUAUGAAAUUGGUUUCCAAUAUUUAAUUAACCAAGAAUAUCAAGUCUAUAGGGUAUUAUUAAGGUGAGACUUCUGUAGCCUUUUCAAUAAAGACCAGAAUUUUGGAGUGCCUUGAACCUUAAUCAUUGAUCUUUAAUUCUUAUUAAGUCAACUGCCCACCUUUUAAAGACUGAGGCCCAGGAAGAGUAAGUUUCUCUGAGACAAUGCAUACAGUACAGUGCUUCUUGGGUAUUGGCUCUAAGACCAGAUGCAAAGAAAGGCUAAAAUCCCAUUUCAUUGUUCAUUAGGUGAGAACCCUUUGUUAAGCUGUGUAACCUCUGUGCAUAGUUUCCUCAUCAGCAAAGUCAGAAAAAGUAUGUACCUGAAGGACUGAUUGUAAGGCUGGGAUGAGAGAAUCCAUGUGAUCAGCCCUCACCAACAGGUGCUGCCCAGUUCAUGAGUGCUGCUGCUGUCCUGCCCAAGUACCCAGCUUGCAGAGUGCCAGAGUUAGAGUCCCAGGGGUGUUCUCCACAGCUGCAUGCUUGAUCCAGGCCUAUCAGAUAUAUUCCAUUGAAAGUCCUCAUUCUCAAAUUUAAAACAAAGACUUUUUGUGUACCUCAAUAGCAAUGCACACACAGUUGGCUUCACAAACAUAUUGUACAUUUCUUUUUUUCAUAUUUAUUCAACAAAUGUAUAUUGACUACCCACCGUGUGACAGGUGUUAUUUGUUGACGGAACCAGGCAUCAUCAGCAAACAAAACUGACAAAGCUUCCUGCCCUCUGUGGAAGGCAUCUGAGGAAGAGACUGGAUUUUGUAGCAACAUGUUAUUCUCAUUAUAAACUUUAUCAUUGGAAUACUAAAGCCAAAUCAUCCCCCAUCUCCUUGAUCAGGAUACCCACUUAAUCUAGGCAGCUACACAAUUGUGAGAGCCUUUGUUUUUUUCUGCUGAAACAUCCUUAAAAAGAUACCUCACAACCCAAGAUUUGGCUUUUCUUAAAUACGAUUUUUAAUUUUUUUCAUUUCUAUCUAGAGAUUUAAUUGGAAAUGGAAAAUCAUCAAUUUUCCAAUUAAAUGUCUGUUCCAAUCAACAUUAUACCUUUUAGGUUGUCAUUGUCAUUUUUAAGUUUAAGCAACUUUAAGGAUUUUGAAUCUGGCUGCCUGUAAAUUAAAGGUGAAAGUAAUCAUUGUGUUGGAUUGGAACAUUUUGUCAAUUGAGAGUGGUUUCCUUGUUCUUAGUGUAUGAAAAGUUUAUUUUUCUAAUGUAGAUUAAUAAAGGAGAUAAAGAAAAACAAAAUG